This is a long non-coding RNA of Alexandromys fortis (reed vole), 2351 nucleotides long. RefSeq lists it as uncharacterized. The record is from RefSeq and is a predicted model, not a curated record. NCBI's taxonomy places the organism in Eukaryota, Metazoa, Chordata, Mammalia, Rodentia, Cricetidae. The transcript is spliced from 4 exons.
AAACACUUUAGGCAUAUCUGCAACAUCAUAGAUCGAACGGAGGCAGAACAUGCUGAAGGUUGGGAGUUGAGAAGGCAUUAAAUCCUAUGACUCAGAAGUCUGUGGAUGGGAGAGAGGGGCCAGGCAGCAAGGACAAAGCUCAGAGAGACUUGGGGCUUGCGAGGUCUUUGUAACCUUGUUUCCCUGUAAAGCAGGGUUUCCGACUGAAGCCUUGGCUGGGCCACAGAUCGGGGAAAGGAAUCCCAGAACGGCCAUCAGGAGGCUGUCAGGGCUGGUCACCCUCUCCGGGGCCUGGGCUUGAGCUUUACAAGAAAACAGGACCCUGAAAGCAGAAGCUGGAGGAACCCCGAAGAUGGUACUGGGGAGUCAGCAUGCCACUUCACGGGCCUCGGGAGGGUCUGGCGAUGCUCUGGGUUCGGUGGGCAGGCAACAGGUCACACGGGGAGGAGAAGCUAGGGAGGCAGGUCCUGCAAGUUAGAUCCUGAGUCUGCCAGCUCCCUGCUGGUGGCUUACAAAGCAGGAUUCCCUCCUUCUGAAAAAGCGGAAUGAGCCUUGUGCCUCUUCCUUACUGGCACCUAGAAUAAGACAGGAAGGAACCAGUUUUUCAGAACUGUAGACAUGGGAAAGAGGACAGUGUCCUCUAGUGGCAAUAGCCUGGUACUGCAACUCAGAAGCCAUAAGAUCCAAUAAACCCCAGAUGGUAGCCACAGGUUGUCCGUCCACUCCUCCCUCCUUCUUCUGUGUUUGUAUCCUUCCUCCCUAAGUAAAACCCUCCUGUUUUGUCCAUUUCCCCCUUCAUAUCACCUGUAACCUGCUCGUCCCCUCUCUGUUGCCGCCCUCACCUCCCGCAAUGGUCCCGUUUUACUUUCCCAAUUUCUGAAGUUAUUGAAGAAAUCAAAAUGGGCCAAGAAACACCUAAAACAUGUUCAACUAGGGGAAUGCGCAUCAAAACAACUUCGAGAUUUCAUCUUACCCCAGUAAGAAUGGCAAAGACUGUUAAAACAACUGGCGGCAAAUGAUGGAGGGGGUGUGGGGAAGGGGAACGCUUAUUCGCCACUUGGAUUGCAAACUGGCCCAGCCACUCUGGAAAUCAGUGUGGAGAAUCUUCACAAAGCUAAAGAUCAACCCACCCUCUGAGCCACCUCUGCACCAGGGCCUGAUUCUGUGACCACACUCCACGGGUUCUGUUCAGCCACGCUCAUUGCCCACCGUUGCUAGGAAGUGGGAACAGCCUACAUGUCCUUCAACUGACCAACGGAUAAUGAAAAUGAGUAUAUUCUUGACUACAGAUCUGAUGUGACUAACAGCUCGAGAACCUGCAUUGACUUCCCUGCAGGGAUGGAUUGUAACCUGGAAUUAUAAGAUGAAUAAACCCCUUUGCCCUGUGGUGAUUUGUAAGAAAAUAGCUCCAAAGGGAGUGGCACUGUAAGGAGGUGUGGCUUUGUUGGAGUGGGCAUGGCCUCGUUGGAGGAAGUGUGUCUUUUUGGGGGUGGGCUUUGAGGUCUCAUAUAUGCUAAAGCCAUAACCAAUGUCCCAGAUCACUUCCGGUUGCCUGAAAGAGAUAGGACUCUCAGCUACUUCUCGAGCACCGUUUCUGCCUGCACAGUGCCAUGUCCCACCACGAUGAUAAUGGACUGAACCUCUGAACUGCAUAAGUAUGUACAUAUAUAAGUAUAGUCCCCAUGGAGGCCAGAAGAAGGUGUUGGAUCCCUUGGUGCUGGAAUCACAGGCAGUAGUGAGCUGCCCAAUGUAGGUUCUGGGACCCAAACUCCGGACCUCUGGAAGAGAAGCAAGUACUCUUAACUGCUGAGCCAUCUCUCCAGUCCCUGAUCUAUAAUUUUUAAAAGAGCCAAUUUCAUGAAAAGUAAGGAAAGACUGUAAUUGCUACAGACUGAACGAGAGACAUGAGACACGAUGCCCAAGACCCAGAACCUUCAUCUGGUGAUGGAUGGAGAUAGAGACAGAGACCCACAUUGGAACACUGGACUGAGCUCCCAAUGUUCAAAUGAGGAGCAGAAGGAAGGAGAACAUGAGCAAGGAAGUCAGGACCACGAGGAGUGUGCCCCCUCACUGAGACGGUGGGGCUGAUCUAAUGGGAGCUCACCAAGUCCAGCUGGACUGGGACUGAUGGAGAAUGUGAUCAAACUGGACUCUCUGAAUGUGGCUGAUAAUGAGGUCUGACUGAGAAGCCAAGGACAGUGGCACUGGGUUUUGAUUCUACUGCACGUACUGGCUUUGUGGGAACCUAGUCUGUUUGGAUGUUCACCUUCCUAGACCUGGAUGGAGGGGGGAGGACCUUGGACUUUCCACUGGGCAGGGAACCCUGACUGCUCUUUGGACUGGCAAGGGAA